AUUGAACGCUGGCGGCAUGCCUUACACAUGCAAGUCGAACGGCAGCACGGGAGCAAUCCUGGUGGCGAGUGGCGAACGGGUGAGUAAUAUAUCGGAACGUGCCCAGUCUGGGGGAUAACGUAGCGAAAGCUACGCUAAUACCGCAUACGAUCUAUGGAUGAAAGCGGGGGAUCGCAAGACCUCGCGCGAUUGGAGCGGCCGAUAUCAGAUUAGGUAGUUGGUGAGGUAAAGGCUCACCAAGCCGACGAUCUGUAGCUGGUCUGAGAGGACGACCAGCCACACUGGGACUGAGACACGGCCCAGACUCCUACGGGAGGCAGCAGUGGGGAAUUUUGGGACAAUGGGCGCAAGCCUGAUCCAGCAAUGCCGCGUGCAGGAUGAAGGCC
Molecule: ribosomal RNA, 386 nt
Filed under: uncultured bacterium
Lineage: Bacteria
Description: bacterial SSU rRNA
Rfam family: Bacterial small subunit ribosomal RNA
Source: RNAcentral